This 948-nucleotide long non-coding RNA is filed under the name Gallus gallus (chicken). The record is from RNAcentral. Lineage: Eukaryota; Metazoa; Chordata; Aves; Galliformes; Phasianidae.
UUAAGAUUCAAUUUAUUACAAUAUUAGGACUGCUGCAUUUGCACCCAUGAUAUUUAAAAAAUCUGUCAGACAAACCAUGUAGAAAUAAGUAUGCAAAAACUGCAAAGAAAAACAUUUAAGGAGCCAAAAUUAAAAAGACCUUAGUGUGAAUUCACACAGUCUUACUUGGUUUCUACUAGGCUAUUGCAGCCAAGUAGUCCUUAACCUCAGUUGGAGUUAGCCUCCUAAAACCAGCUUCAUUACAUAUGCCAACUUCAAUGUUGUCUUCUGUCAUUUGCCCUUCAAAGCUCUCCUUUAAUGUUAAGAUGGCUGUAUGAAUGGCAUCUUCAAGCUCCAAAUCUUCAUUGUAUCUUUUCUCAAGGAAUGUUUUCCCAUUGACAUAAUUUUUUCCCAUCGCUGUUGCUUUCCAAGCAAAAUAAGCUCCAGAUGGAUCUGACUGAAAUAAAUAGGGCCGCCCCUCAUUCCAGCCACAUAUUAGCAGUGACACACCAAACGGACGAACGCCUCCAGACUGUGUAUAUUCCUGCAUCACAGAAGCAAUCCUUUGUACUAGUUGAGCUGUUGGAAUGGGCUCAUGAUAAACCAAGAAAUAUUGCUGGGCCAGCUUCCGUGCUCUGUGUACAAGUACUCUGUAAUCUGGACCCAUACCACUAUACACUAAACCUAUAUGUUUAGUAAUUGGUUCUACUUUAUGGACACUCCUUUCGUCAUAAAGAAUGGAUUUCUGCUUCUUUUCCGUUGCUAACACCACUCCAUUUGCAGCUUUAAUCCCAACCGAUGGAGCUCCUGCAGCCACUGCAGCCAAAGCAUACUCAAUCUGAACAAGUUUCCCAGAAGGACUGAAGGUAGUGAGGGAGAAACUGUAACCUCGCUCCGCCAUCUUGGAACCAGCCCCCAGGCUAUCCUCGCCAGCUCUCUCUGCGCAGGUGCGAUCUGCCCGAUCGCCCC